GACGAACGCUGGCGGCGUGCUUAACACAUGCAAGUCGAACGGAAAGGCCCUGCUUUUGUGUGGUGCUCGAGUGGCGAACGGGUGAGUAACACGUGAGUAACCUGCCCUUUACUUUGGGAUAACUUCAGGAAACUGGGGCUACUACCGGAUAGUAGCUCCUGCUGCAUGGUGGGGGUUGGAAAGUUUCGGCGGUUGGGGCUGUACUCGCGGCUUAUCAGCUUGUUGGUGGGGUAGUGGCUUACCAAGGCUUUGACGGGUAGCCGGCCUGAGAGGGUGACCGGCCACAAUGGGACUGAGAGACGGCCCAGACGCCUACGGGAGGCAGCAGGGGGGAAUAUUGCACAAUGGGCGGAAGCCUGAUGCAGCAACGCCGCGUGCGGGAUGACGGCCUUCGGGUUGUAAACCGCUUUCGCCUGUGACGAAGCGUGAGUGACGGUAAUGGGUAAAGAAGCACCGGCUAACUACGUG
This 468-nucleotide ribosomal RNA is filed under the name uncultured bacterium. RNAcentral describes it as "partial 16S ribosomal RNA". It matches the Rfam family "Bacterial small subunit ribosomal RNA", at positions 28 to 507 of the family's 1533-position model. The record is from RNAcentral.